Ictalurus punctatus (channel catfish) is the source of this 3496-nucleotide long non-coding RNA. RefSeq lists it as uncharacterized. The record is from RefSeq and is a predicted model, not a curated record. NCBI's taxonomy places the organism in Eukaryota, Metazoa, Chordata, Actinopteri, Siluriformes, Ictaluridae. The transcript is spliced from 9 exons.
UGCAGCCAGGACCUUCUCGCCAUGUCGCGGAAACGCUGCGUGUUUCGGUGCGAAAGCAAAACCUCUUUGUUUAGCCUUCCGAAAACGGAUGAAAUUAGGAACCAGUGGUUACUGUUUAUUUAUAACGCUGUUCCCGAUGAGUACAACCCGAAUGUCUGCUUAUGCACAGAGCAUUUCACCGAGGACAGCUUCCUGAACCUGGGCGAGUACAACGCAGGCUACACACAAAGACUGCUCCUGAAACCCGGAGCGACUCCCACUUUAUUCGGACAGUCUUGCGUGUCUGAAUCAGAGCCGAGUACAUCUCAGCAGGGCCAGGGUUCACAGCAGUUCUCCACUCUAUCCAGAAGCCGUCAUGUGGGAUGUCAGACGGACGGCGUAGAGACGAGAUCAGUGGGCACACUGCCUUUAGUGUCGCCAAAGAUGCGAUCAGUUGGCACACAACUGUCCAUGGGUACACUGAAGGGCACGCAUGUACGCAGCAAAGGCACCCAGGCUACGGUUUCUUGUCUGGAUGUAGGCACUGAAACCGCCCCCAUCUCAUCAACACCCAUAAACACCCGUGCUUUCAGACCACGUAAGAGACCUCGUCUGGAGGAGGAGGACUGAGACGGGCGUUUCUGAAAUCAUGAAAACCCAUGACUCCGCGUAUACACCAGGUGACUCGGAGGAGAGGAAACCCACUGAUGUCCGCAGCUACUUGGGCCUUGUUUUUUCAACUUGAAAAGAUCUCCAAGGCCAUGCAGCUUGAGAUGAUGCAGUAUAGUAUGUUCAGGAGACAUGCUAGGAACUUCUUGGAGCUUGCUAUAAUAUACAAGUGGAACUUGGACAGGAAAAAGGUGGCCACAUGCAACCACAUCCAAAACGUCUAUGUCCGUGAAAACCCUGUCUUCCCGAAGUUUGAACAUCCAGACAGUUUUUAGGGAUCCCAAAAACUGGUUCCACCGAGUGUAAAAGGUCCUGAACAAGAAGAGAGCGCUGUAGGAUGUGGAAACACUCAGUCAUCACUACCAGACAUCUUUGCUGGAGGCCUUCCACGGCGUGAUCCUGUGUUUUGCCCCCAGGACUGUGGUUUUCUCUUUCAUUGCAAUGUUGUGCAGGUUGUACCUUGCGGCUGUGCAUUACAGUGAAAAUGCAGACCGUGAACAGGCAACAUCAGCGGGACAAGCAGUGUACCCCUUCCCAGGUUCCUGUCCUCACAGUUUGAAAAACCUUCAAAGGAGGGAGUUAUUGUCCGUCCACGUCAAGGAGUGGUCGAAAACCAGCAAACUGUCCAUCCGGAUCAGGAAACUCCAGAUAUAGCCUCAGCACAACACAGGACUGGAGGACUACGUAGCCCCAGCUGAUCAAUCUUCGAUAGGUGGCAUAACGGUGCCGUCUGUAAUAAGAAAGUGGUAUCAUGAACAUAAAAUGUCCUAAGAACAUACUCUUCUUUUACUCUGCACUUCAAAGGUCCAUAGUCCACUCAGUAAAUGUAUGAGUUAUCUGAAGCGUGUAAGGAUUCAAACAGUUCGCUUCGGAGUUUUAUAACAUUGUAUCUGAAAGAAUCUGGCUCGGACUGAUAGGGUGAAAACGUAGAAUUGCUUUAGAAGCUUUGGAGGUUGGAGCUAACCUAAGGAGUGUUACAUUUCCAACUCACGUUUGAGGUUUUUGGCCAAUCACAAUGUAACAGGUCAGCUGGCCAAUCAGAGCACUCCGGGCUUUUCAGAACGAGGGGCUUUGCAGAAAUUGGAGCAUUUCAGGCAUCCUGGGAAUAGAGUGAACACCUCUUCCUCUUCGCUCCUCUGUAACUCCUCCCAACCAGCUACAGACGGAUAAAACCUCUCACCGUCUGCACGUUCCUCUGUCUCCUGAACACCAGCUACUCACAUGACUUCCUGAAUACCGUAUAUGGAGUUGUUCCUCUCUUACACUGAUAUGCUUCUUGUAUGCAAUUAUGCCCUUCUGCCUAGUGAAUCAAUAGUUACCCAUUGUCUCUGUUGUGUGUCAAGCCUGAUAUAUAGUCUGCAUUUCUUUGAAUAAAUCAGAGCGCUUGCCAUUUGAGUUUUGUGUAUCUGUGUGUUAUUUGGUCAUCUCUCCCAAGGCCUUUCACACACAAUUCCAUCACAUCAUCAAAAGGUUUUGUUUGAGAUUGUGGCAGAUGUAAAGGAGGGGAAUUUGUACGCAUGUCAGGUUUUUUGACAAGAAACACUUCCAUGUAGGAUACACUGUGUAUCCUUGCUCCUCACUCCUCGUUCCUCGCUGUAAAUCAGUUGAAAAAAAACCUGACCUCCAACGACACCAGACAGAGGAGAAUAGAGGAUACUGUACAUCUGAGGACAUGAAGCAGCAGGCGGUAGCUCACGUUAACCCAAGUGACUGUUAUGCACUCCAUCUAGAAGAAUCAACAGAUGCAUCUGAUCAUGCUAUCCUGAUUGUGAGACCCUUAUCGAAAUUGAAUCACGAGUUUCCCCGUUGAUUUGCACAGGCUGUGAGUUCAGCUCCGUUUCUGCUAAACGUUUACGUAUUUAAUAGUUUAGAAUUUUUACAUAUAGUGUACAAUUUGUAAUUUGAUAUUUGGGUCAGUUUGUAUUUGUUAGUUAAAUUGCACUUACUCAGGAUUAUGUUUAUGCAUUUAUACAGUGGCCCAUUUCCUUAAUAAUGUCGAAUAAUUGUACACUUGAUUAAAAAUAUGCAUUGUAUAUUCUCCAUUGUAAAUAAUUGAGGUACAACGUUAAGAACUUGAUAAGUGUAACUUAAUUUACUUCCUGUUAUUUCACGUGGUAAAAGAGUACCUUAUAACUUUACACAAGAAAUUAUUAUUGGUAUGAAUAGCAUUAAUAUUUCUCCAUUUAUCUCCAUAUGAUAAUUUUAUUGUAGUGCUGGGUCACAACUUGAGUCCAACAUGAUAUUUGGGUCCUGAGGCAAAACCAGCUGAGAACCACUGGUCUAGGGUUAGACCUGUGGUCGAUAUCUGUUGUGUGAGAACUAGCUAGUGGAUAAGAAUUGGCAAACGAUCCCAUUGGUAGGAAAAAAAAAAAAGAAACAAUCAAAAUGAAAAUCAUAACGCUAGACCAGUGGUUCUCAGCUGGUUUUGCUUCAGGACAGAAAUUUAAUAUUGGACUCAAGUUGCGACAAAACACUGCAAUAAAAUUAUCUACAUCACAGGACUGCUGAACACUCAAGAAGCACGUGCUAACUGGGGAUUCGAGCUCCCAACACCAGGGUGAAUGCUCUUCUGUUGCAAAAAAAAAAAAAAAGACACUCCAAACUAUACUUAAACCAGUAAUGUUACCAGCAAUAAUGAGAGUUCCAAUCUCACAGUCUGUCAUCCGUUAAUUUUGUAUUUUCCAUGCAGCUUCUUCACUCAGUAUUGCGCAACUUCUAGCUCUGGUUUUGAGUUCCUCCAGUACUGGAGUCACCAAAUAGAAAGAUUGUGGCAGUGUUUUCAUGUUAUCGGCCUUUCGGAUGAAGCAGACUAAUCUCAGUGGACCAGGAAGUAAGUGAAGUACUGGGG